This 373-nucleotide ribosomal RNA is filed under the name uncultured organism. RNAcentral describes it as "partial 16S ribosomal RNA". It matches the Rfam family "Bacterial small subunit ribosomal RNA", at positions 527 to 896 of the family's 1533-position model. The record is from RNAcentral.
GUAGGUGGCAAGCGUUGUCCGGAAUUAUUGGGCGUAAAGCGCGCGCAGGCGGUCCUUUAAGUCUGAUGUGAAAGCCCACGGCUCAACCGUGGAGGGUCAUUGGAAACUGGAGAACUUGAGUACAGAAGAGGAAAGCGGAAUUCCACGUGUAGCGGUGAAAUGCGUAGAGAUGUGGAGGAACACCAGUGGCGAAGGCGGCUUUCUGGUCUGUAACUGACGCUGAGGCGCGAAAGCGUGGGGAGCAAACAGGGAUUAGAUACCCUGGUAGUCCACGCCGUAAACGAUGAGUGCUAAGUGUUAGGGGGUUUCCGCCCCCUUAGUGCUGCAGCUAACGCAUUAAGCACUCCGCCUGGGGAGUACGGCCGCAAGGCUG